AUAUUUUCACCCGCAGUAUCGUCAUUUUCUCUGCACUGACAUUUUAGCUCCUCUUCCAAUAAUCUGUUCUUAAUAAAAUCAAUUUCCAAUGUUUCCGGAUUAAGAGUUUCAAUCGCCGUUACCACAUUACUAGAAGAUUCCGGAAGAAAUGUCCUUCCUCCAGACACAACGAGCCGAUGUCAACUUUCAUGGACCCCUCUAAUACAAACAGUCUGCCAACAAUCUUAGGAUGAUCUAAUUCUUAAUAGUAAUAAUCGCAAUAUGGUCUGGAAACCCUGCGAUUUUUAUUUUUAUAUUAUUUUAAAUAUAGUCUAAUUAAGGAAUAAAUAAAUAAUCUACUCGUUAA
Molecule: long non-coding RNA, 346 nt
Organism: Stomoxys calcitrans (stable fly)
Lineage: Eukaryota; Metazoa; Arthropoda; Insecta; Diptera; Muscidae
Exons: 2
Source: RefSeq, a predicted model, not a curated record